GCCGUUGUAGCUCAGUUGGCAGAGCGACGCAUUCGUAACGCGUAGGUCAUCAGUUCAAUCCUGAUCAACGGCUCCA
RNAcentral lists this transfer RNA (76 nucleotides) under Candidatus Saccharimonadota bacterium. RNAcentral's name for it is "tRNA-Thr". It matches the Rfam family "tRNA". Rfam says of the family: Transfer RNA (tRNA) molecules are approximately 80 nucleotides in length. RNAcentral also lists the same sequence under 1 other name. The record is from RNAcentral. Lineage: Bacteria; Candidatus Saccharimonadota.